Chrysemys picta bellii (western painted turtle) is the source of this 1125-nucleotide non-coding RNA. Lineage: Eukaryota; Metazoa; Chordata; Testudines; Emydidae. The record is from RefSeq and is a predicted model, not a curated record.
CCCUCCGGUUCCCCCGGCCGGCUCUACCCCCAGACUUGGCCCGGCUCCACCUUCACCCCUCGACUCCAUCCCCUAUCUCCCCAGUAAGGUCCGUGCUGGGGACGAAGGUGGAGCCGGCCACCCUCCCCAGUUCGACCCUCCGGCCCGGCUCUAGCCUCCAUCCUCCCAGGUCCGGCUCCACCCCACCCUGGCCCCUCCGGCCACCGCGCUCUGUUCGGGCGGGUUCUGGGGUUGGAGCUCCCCGAGGGGCGGGGGGGCACCUGUCCUGGCCGGGUACCGCGGGGCCUGAGCCCGGUGCAGCCCGUGACCCGACCCUUCUCCCGCAGACAUGUCCUGCCGCUCCCGGCUCGCCACCCUUAACGAGAAGCUGACCGCGCUGGAGCGACGGAUCGAGUACAUCGAGGCCAGGGUAACAAAGGGCGAAACUCUGACCUAACUGCAGAAGGCUGGUGGGGAGCUGACCUGGAGAAGAUUGUGCGGCUGUGCCAGAGUUGACUGUCAGACAUCUGAUUUCUUCAUUACUUCUUAUUGGUGACAGGACUUCAGCUUGUUUCUGAGAUGCAAUAUCCCUGCCUUCAGUGCAUGGCUCCAGGGUGACUCCAGAGGAAAUUGAUAAAAUGCAAAUGAGCAUGUUGAAUUCAGUGAUUUUUGUGCAGACAGAUUCAUGCAGCUGUCAAAUACUCCUGCACCCCUUAAUCUCUCUCUCAUUCCCAGCUGUGCAUGUAGAACGCCUACAUUUUGCAGCUGCAGAAUCUCUCUGGCCAAAAGUCGCUUUGUGGGAAGAAAACUUCUCUUGGGAGCUGACUGGCUGAGGAAGUGGGUGUCCAUGCUAUUGGCGGGCCACUCCUCUGGUGGUUUCAGUUCCUUUAGCAAACACUGCAACUUAUAUCUCUUAGCAAAAAUGUCAAAUAUAUCCAUCCUUCCAGUCUGCGAGCAGAGCAGUACAUGUGCAGUCUGUGGUUGGCAGGGUGAGGCAGGGGAAUAGGUAAUGUGCCAAGAUAAACUCUCUGGGCAGGGUGGGUUUCAGAGCUUUCUGUGUCUUUUGUAUUCUGUAAUGUCACAUGGGGAGUGUCUUUCAUUUGUGUUUCAACAAUAAAUUGCCUCUGCUGAUGGGGUCUGAGCUGA